AAGUAGUUGCUCGGUAGAUUUUCUGGAUGGAUGGAAAUCUAGAUGAAUAGAUUGAUGAAAAGAAGGGAUGGGUUGGUGGGUGGAUGUUUGGAUGAUGGAAGAACAGAUGAUCCAGUAGGAAGUAAGAAUAACUGCAGGAAUGAGAAAGUUGUGCUCCAUAAAUAUUUUCUGGAUAAUUGGAUGCACGGAUACGUUGGUGGCUGGGUGCAAUGAUGGGCGAAAAAGAAUACUUGAUUGGAGGUAAGCCUGGAUGAAGAGCCUCAAGUGGAGGGUUAGAAUUUCAGCUCCUCUUUCCCAGGGGGCGCUGCGGGGCCACUCGCACGGGCCUGGCCUGGCAGAGAGGCGCCGCUCUAGGCUGUAGCCGACGCGAGGCCGCAGUUCCGCAGAGACUGCGGAGCGAGAACUCAGUCCUCCUGCUCCGUCCCGGUCUACAGCCUGUACUCAUGCUGUGCUCUGUGUACCCUGCUGCCUUCCGUCCCGGCAUCCGGCUAAGUCACUCAGGGCGUGCUCUGCGCAAGGCUCCCAAACCUUGCUGUUGAGCCCAAUGGAAACUACCCUGUGGCGGCGCUGCCGGUUCUGCAACAGCCAGCGCCCCUGCUCUCCCCGCCCCACGGACCGGAUGUCCCGAGGUGACAACUUGGUGUAAAUGGGUCAUGAGAGGUGUCCAUCUUGCCAGGAAGCAGCUGGACCAUGGUGCUCCUGAGUGAGGUGUGUUCCCUGGAGGUUGGAGACUUCUGGAGAUUUCAACUGUGAUGUGGUCCAGAAAGCAGAUGGACCUUUGGGACCUUUUCUCAUCCUCAUUUUCAUCCACUAGAAAGCAGGGAUAUGAUGAGACAGGGUUUUUGGGGUCACAACUCCCUGUUUUCCCUCAAUGUAAGAACUUCUAUCAGCUAGCUAGCUUGCUUUCUUUCUUUCUUUCUUUCUUUCUUUUCUUUCUUUUCUUUCUUUCUUUCUUUUUUGUAGUUUAUUUGAGACACGGUCUCUCUUAUGUAGUUCAGGCUGGCCUUGAACUCACUUUGUAGCCAGGCUGGCCUCCAACCCAUGGCAAUACUCCUGCCUCAGGCUCCCAAGUGCUGGGAUUACAAGCAUGAACAUGCCUAGCUCUCCAACAGUUUUCUUUAGAGGUGUCUUUCUUUUGCCUCCCCUGUAGGGCCACGUUGAAGGAACUUUUGUAGAGUUAGAAACAAUUGUUGUGUCCUUGUGUUUAGUUGGGCUGGCUGCUCAAAGCUUCUGCCACUGGUCUCCUUUUAAAAAACAGCAAGCCCUCUGACCUUUUCUGCCCCUGCAUUCGUAAGUGAUCAGGGGGUGCCCAUUCCCUGGUCAUUGGUAUUGCAGGCAGAGGAAAUACGGAAAGAAUUGUCCUGUGUUUGGAGGGUCUGCGUGCUUGCCUUCCAGUGCUAGGAGCUUUCCCACACUCUUGCUUCUCAUCAUACAGCUUGGGCUUUGGAGCUGCUAUGUGAGCAUUACUGUCAUUGUUGGAACUUUCACUUCCUGCCCCCUGCUUUUGGGAACUAGGCCAUGUGUGUUGCUUAAGUUCCCCUUGACAGCCAGCAGAGUCACUACCACUCAGCCAAUCUGUGGUUAUGUAUUAAUCAGUAUUAGCUACCCUGCCAUAGGCCAUCUCUCUCUCUUUAGUUAACUCUUAUUUUCAUAAAGAAAUAUUGUGUUUGCUUAGGAAGUAAUAGUCACUGCGUUUGGAAUGCCUACUGUCUGGUAACUACUAUGUUAAUUCUUUUCCUGGUGGCUUUCAUGUCCAUGCUGCUGGAUGCUCACCAAUUAUUCCUGUCUCUUGCAGGUGUCCCGGAGUUGUCCUGUCAGGAACACCUUAGACCCCAGUGUCAUUGAGAGUUUUCAAUCCAUGGUCUGCUGGUUCCAUUGCUUUAGGGCCUAUGGCGAGGCAGAAAUGUCAUUGGCAGAAGGCCUGGUGGAGGAAAGCUGCUUACUUCAUCACAGCCAAGAAGCAGAGAAAGAAAGAAAAAGCCAUGGGGAGGACUUUGAGGUUGAGGGAUGCUGCGCUGGAACUGGAGAUUGCUGAAGGAAGGCCCUGGAAUAGAGGCACUGACCCUGUCAGGAUGAUGAAUGGGGUUCCUGCUCUGAAGGGAUCUCCUCAUGUUGGUUGUGGUGUUGAUUGUGGACACUGGCAUAGCAGAGUGAAGAGUGUCAUUGUCACACGACGCAUUCCAGACCUUAGUGCAGUGGCCUCAGCACAACACAGAGCACCUUUUUACUCUGCAUGAGCAAGCGGAGGGGAAGGCCUGGACUCUGAGGACUUGGGGUCCAGAGGUGGAGACCUUCCAGCUGGUUCUACCCCAUCCCAGCAGAGCCACAGAGCAUCAUAGACGGGAAGACCAGUCUUCCUUCAACUGGCCACCUCCCAGUCUUGCCUACUCCUGGUGUAACUUGUAGACCCAAGAGAUCCUGGUGAAGUUUUCUAUACCCUGCACAACCUCAAUAAAUUGUCCACCUCAAUAAAUUUUGAAACAUGCUGUGCUGUGUAUUUUUUGGGUUUUGUUUGUUUACCAAAAUACCCAUGUGUACCAGCUAGGCUGGGUAUAGAGAAGGUAGUCACAGGGUGAAUCUUCCAGUUUUCACUUACUGAGAAUUCCCACUUAGCAUGCUCCUAAGUGGGAUGUGACCUAGGGAAUUUGAGGUAGGAGGUAGGAUUUGGACUAGAGGUUGAACAAUGCCACAUGCAUCUGGGGGCUCAGGCUUAGGAGAGAAAGAGAACUGUUAAAACUAAGUUGCCUGAGCAACAUUUGGGCCAGGGAUUUGGAAGAGAAGAUGAUAAUGG
RNAcentral lists this long non-coding RNA (2791 nucleotides) under Heterocephalus glaber (naked mole-rat). RNAcentral's name for it is "lncRNA (ENSHGLG00000046153.1)". The stretch from base 1281 to 1414 matches the Rfam family "Small nucleolar RNA SNORA71". Lineage: Eukaryota; Metazoa; Chordata; Mammalia; Rodentia; Bathyergidae. The record is from RNAcentral.